GCAGUCAGCAAAGACAAGAGUACUGAAAGCUGGCUGCCCUCUUCACAGUUGAAUACCAGGGCUUAAGGUGGGAAUUCCUGGCAGCUCCACCCCAUCCUUCCAGUGGGCAUGCAGGCCCUUAGACCGAACUGCUCCGUAUUGAUUUAUUUUCCCUACUGCGCAUGUGCUAAGGAACGGAAUUUUCCACUGCCAGCAUGUUUAGAGGCUAUAUACAUAACUGACGACUGGUCAUAAGAAGUACGAAGCCCAUUCCUUUGCCCUAGGUGUCGCCAUCUUUGAAAGGCCAUUCUGCUGGAGAACUUGCUGUGGGAUUGGUUGCACAGGGAAGUGUUCAGCUCCACUCUCUGUCCAUCCUGCUAUCUUCAGUUCCUCACAACCAUUAUUCCUGAGAAUUUUCCCAAAUAAACCGCCAGCAUGCAAACACAUCUGCCUAGUGGAGAACCAAAUUACAAGAGAAGGAAGACAAUGUGUGGAAGGUAUACUCCUAUUUCUUAAAAUGCCUUGCCUAGAAGCCAUGCAUACCACUUUCAUUCAUCUUGUAAUAGCUAGAACUAAUCUCAUGACUACAUAUAGAUGCAAGACUACUGGGAUAUAUAUUGUUCCCCUGGAACACUGCUACAAGAGAAAAGGAAAACACAAAUCAAUGUCAUGGUGGAUAUGCAUCUUAGCUGUGGUUGCCAUAACAACAUACAAUAGACGUGACUUACACAAUACACAGUUAUUUCCCACAGUUCUGUAUGCUGAAAAUGUGAGAUUAGAGUGGCAGCAUAAUCAGGUUCUAAUGAGGACCCUCUUCCUGGCUUACAGAAGGCUGGAUUCUUGGUGUAUCCUCAUAUGGUUGAGAGAGCAGACUCUACUAUCUUCUCCUCCUCUUAUGAGUACUCUAAUCCCUUCAAGGGGGCUCUGACUUCAUGAUCUCAUCUAAACCUCAUUAGCUUCCAAAGACUCUACCUUCUCAUAUCAUCACAUUGGGGGUUAGAGCUUCAAUGUAUGAAUUUUGGAGAGACACAAACAUUUGGUUCAUAACAAUAUGUGAAGGGCUACUUUCAGAAAAUGGGAGAGUUAGAAUGAAAGUGGGUUUAAAUUGCUAUAAUGCUUCAAGUACAACAAUGAGAUUUCCUUUUUACUUAUGCUUACAUUUAAUCUGGGUAUGGGAAAAAAUCGAC
Molecule: long non-coding RNA, 1166 nt
Filed under: Homo sapiens (human)
Lineage: Eukaryota; Metazoa; Chordata; Mammalia; Primates; Hominidae
Description: HSALNT0070915
Source: RNAcentral